CCUAUGGGAGGCAGCAGUGAGGAAUAUUGGUCAAUGGGCGCGAGCCUGAACCAGCCAAGUAGCGUGAAGGAUGACUGCCCUACGGGUUGUAAACUUCUUUUAUAAAGGAAUAAAGUGAGGCACGUGUGCCUUUUUGUAUGUACUUUAUGAAUAAGGAUCGGCUAACUCCGUGCCAGCAGCCGCGGUAAUACGGAGGAUCCGAGCGUUAUCCGGAUUUAUUGGGUUUAACGGGAGCGUAGAUGGGUUGUUAAGUCAGUUGUGAAAGUUUGCGGCUCAACCGUAAAAUUGCAAUUGAUACUGGCAGUCUUGAGUACAGUUGAGGUAAGCGGAAUUCGUGGUGUAGCGGUGGAAUGCGUAGAUAUAACGAAGAACUCCGAUUGCGAAGGCAGCUUACUAAACUGCCACUGACAUUGAUGCUCGAAAGUGUGGGUAUCAAACAGGAUUAGAUACCCGAGUAGUC
RNAcentral lists this ribosomal RNA (460 nucleotides) under uncultured bacterium. RNAcentral's name for it is "partial 16S ribosomal RNA". It matches the Rfam family "Bacterial small subunit ribosomal RNA", at positions 338 to 795 of the family's 1533-position model. The record is from RNAcentral.